UGCUUGCAAGGGCUCAGGUUGCUUCAGCUGCUGGCCAUCCACAGAUUGCAGCCGAUUCCUUGGAGAAAAUACCUGACAUUUAACACAAGCCUGCAACUGUUGCCACUAUUGUCUCUCUCAAGGAACGGGCUGGAGAUUCUGAUGGUGCCGAUGCUAUGUUUGAUUCCGCAAUCAAGUGGUGGUCAAAUGCCGUGACUGAAGACAAUAAGCUCAAUACCAUCAUGCAGGAGACUGCUGCUUUCAAGCUCAGGCAUAGAAGGAAAGAGGAGGCAGCACGCCUUUAUGAACAGCUAGUGAAAAGCCAUGGAAGUACUGAGGCUUUAGUUGGAUUAAUCCAGACUGCAGCCCAUGCUGACAUUGAGAAAGCAGAAGCUUAUGAGAAGCAGUUAAAACCACUACCUGGUUUGAAAGCAAUAGACGUCGACAGUUUGGAGAAAACUUCUAGUGCCAAGCAAGCCGAGAAAGGUCCAAAUGCUGGUGCCACUGAAACAUACGAAGGGAAGAGUAAGGAUAAGGCGAAGAAAAAGAGGAAGAGAAAGCCAAAAUAUCCAAAGGGCUUUGACCCGGCUAAUCCAGGACCUCCACCUAAUCCAGAGAGGUGGCUUCCCAAGAGGGAGAGGUCUAGUUACAGACCAAAGAGAAAGGAUAAGAGAGCAGCUCAAAUUAGAGGUUCUCAAGGUGCAGUGGCUAAAGAGGCAGCGAGCAGUUGUGAUACGAAGUCAAACCAGCCAGCUAAUCUAAAAGGAGCCUCUCAGAAUGCAGUGCAAUCAAAGGCUUCAUCCAAAUCAAGGAAGUAAUCCAACAACAGAUAACUGAUGUUUCUUUGUUAUUGUUUCCCUGGAUUCAUUUAGCAUUUCUGUUGUACAACAUGAGUUAGUCUCGGAGAUGUCCAUUUAUAUAUUGUUAACUUUUUCAUACAUAAGGUUGUAGGGAAGGCAUCUAAAGUUAACCUACCUUGAUCACUUUUGGAAAGGCCUCAUUUACUGAGUUCUCUUAGGUCUAAAGUCUAAAUUAUUAGGAUUGUGUUAUCAAUCUUUUUUUAAA
RNAcentral lists this long non-coding RNA (1044 nucleotides) under Solanum tuberosum (potato). Its description in RNAcentral is "long non-coding RNA (STUB_LNC001421)". Lineage: Eukaryota; Viridiplantae; Streptophyta; Magnoliopsida; Solanales; Solanaceae. The record is from RNAcentral.